UUACAACGCAAUUUGACAGGAUCCAACUAUUUGCUCUCGUAGCCUUUUAUGUGACUCUAUACAUUGGGCUAAUCCUUAUUCUUCUCCUAAGGCAACAUUCAUUUUCUCAUGCCUCCGAACAAGGCCUGAGACUCCCUCGGGUUCCUGUAACGUAUGUUGGGUGGAUGUCUGUGUUCUGUGGCAUUGUGGCGAAGGAAAGGUCUGCGUCCUAGUGGUGGAGAUGGCUAAUUAAGACAAUAGCGGACAUAGGACAAUCAGGGGCCGACUGGUGAAUAACAGUCUAGACAGCAGCUACGGUUCUCCGUCGGAAUUUUAACUUGCCCUGCUUCCCUUUCCCCUAAAUCGAUCGCACACCCUCUGUCGGCCCCUAACAUCUCAUUCCCUGGCUUUUCUUUUUAUUCAGAUUUUAUUUGUGUCUGACCUUAAACAAUUCAUCUUUUCAUAGACUUGUCGAGUCUGACAGGCCGGUUUUAUUAUUGAAAGUCUAGUGGCCGGGCCAUAAUGAAACCUUCCAACUAACCAUGACGACGUCAUGAUCAAGGAAUUUCUUGUUUUCUUAAGCACUCGAUCACGUUAUCAACACUUUUUAACUUGUUUACUGUGGAGAAAUUAGGGUUUACAAGAACAACACUUGGACUCUGGAGUAGCCUUCUUUGGUAGUAAUUGCCGACUUACUGUAGACGCAAAAAUGUGUCUGUGUACUGUAGUUAAUUUUUUUUUUUUUUCCUCAGUGCUCCUUUUCAUGAGAUCUCGGCUACAGAAGGUUAUAUGACUAUGUAUGCAGAAUCGAUGUUUAAUUUGAUUAUUUGCUGAUUUCGUUUUAUGGAAACUGGCGGAGAUUGAGGAGAUCACUUCACGACAUUCCGGAAAAAGGGCUCUUCGUGGUAGUUCAGAAGAUUGAACCAAAGCGAAAAAAGGACCUUUCCUCCAAAACAGACAAAGAAUACAUGAAAACAUUUUGACUAUCAAACAGGCUUGUUUCUUGGUAUGUCAAAAGACCUCUAUCAAUGCACAAAACUCGUGUAAGUCUAUCAUUUAAAAGUGACCCAGGGAAAUGCUCAUAAUAAUAAAAUGUCAAUCUUCUAAUAAAAUGGUGCAAACAGUAGACGUUCCUGAGACAGACGAGGACAGCCUGACAGCAGGGCACACAGAGAGGGCUGUUUUACGAGGAACCUGUACAGCCACAGUCAUCUGGCUGCUACAACAUUUGUGACCCUAAGAGUAGACUUAAUAGAAACCUACUGAAAGUCCCACUGCAUGGGGUGUCUGCUAUGACUGUGACCUUGGACCUAGCUCUACUCAUUUCCAUAAUAAUGUGGGAAACGUUUGUCAAUAUUAAGCAAAUGUUGAUAGCCUUGUUGUCAGUCAAGGCAAGAUCCUCCAUAGUCUGGACUCAAAUCCCCAAACAACAAGACCCACCACAGUUUAGAUUUAUUCCCUUAAACAAGACCCAACAUAGCCUGGACUCAAAUAGUCCAAAAUUGUGACUCUCCAUAACCUAAACUCAUAUGCUCAAACAACAAGAUCCACAAUAGUCUGGGACUCAUAUCAUUGUACAACAACAAAAACACCACAGAUUGGAUUUGUAGCCUUGAACAACAAAACCCAGCAUUGCCGGGAUUCUGAUUCUCCAACAAUGAGACGCAGCAUGGCCUGGACUCAAAUCCACCAACAAUAUGACCCUCCAUAACCUAAACUCAUAUUCUUGAACAACAAGACCCACUAAGACAAUCCAUAGUCUGAGAUUGAUAUGUUUGUACAAGACCCACCAUAAUCUGGGACUCAUAUCCACAAACAACAAGACCCACCAUCAUCUGGAACUCCUAUCCUCGAACAACAAGGCCCACCAUCCUCUGGAACUCCUAUCUUCAAACAACAAGACCCACUAUCAUUUUGGACUCCUAUCCUCAUACAAGAAGACCCACCAUCAUCUGGGACUUAUCUAUGAACCAUCUGACAUUACUGUUGGGAGUAUUCUGAGCGAAGCAGCCAAUACUGAUGGUGUCUGUCAUUUACUCUUUUCCCAUGAUUUAUUGGCAAGAAACAGAUAUACAGUAACAAUUGACACUGAUAAUGUAGGUUUUCAAAGCCCCAGUGGUAUCAUCUAUAUGUCAGCAGGAAAAGCCUUACUGAGGACAACUUUUGCAACAUGUAUAUUGAACGGCUAUUAGAACAUACUCCUACACCAGGCUUCUUGGUAAUCACUGUUUGGUUAAUGUAUUGGUGCCCAUACACUUGUGAGAUAAUCGGUGCUAACCUUCGAUUUCUACCUCAUCUGUGAGAAAAAUCGAAGGAUUGUAUGCACAUUUUAGGUACCU
Long non-coding RNA from Pseudophryne corroboree (corroboree frog), 2318 nucleotides. RefSeq lists it as uncharacterized. The record is from RefSeq and is a predicted model, not a curated record. The transcript is spliced from 3 exons. Lineage: Eukaryota; Metazoa; Chordata; Amphibia; Anura; Myobatrachidae.